UUAAGUUCAGCGGGUAGUCUUGCUUGAUUUGAGAUCGGUAAACCAAGGCUUGCACAUUGGAAGCAAUGCGCACCUUGUGAAUCAAGCCUGUACAGGCACGAUUGGUAAAGGGCUUAGAGUCUCAUGUGUAGUCGCCAGGUACAAAGUGCUAUUGGCGUUAUGCACACCUUACCACACAGUGCCCACGACGACCGCAUUGG
Molecule: unclassified non-coding RNA, 200 nt
Filed under: fungal sp.
Lineage: Eukaryota; Fungi
Description: partial internal transcribed spacer 2
Source: RNAcentral